AAAGCUCGUAGUCGGAUUUUGGGCGCGUGUGAACUGUCAGCCUCUGGUUGGACGGUGCGCGCGUGCCUUUCUGCUUGGGAGCCCCAUGGUGGUUAAUUCUGUCGUGGUGGGUCACAGGCCGUUUACUUUGAAAAAAUUAGAGUGUUCAAAGCAGGCUGUUGCUUGAAUAGAUUAGCAUGGAAUAAUGGAAUAGGACCUUGGUGCUAUUUCGUUGGUUAUGGGACUGGGGUAAUGAUUAAUAGGGACAGUUGGGGCCGUUCAUAUUUCGUUGUCAGAGGUGAAAUUCUUGGAUUUACGAACGAUGAACUUGUGCGAAAGCAUUCGGCAAGGAUGUUUUCAUUGAUCAAGAACGAAAGUUAGGGGAUCGAAGACGAUCAGAUACCGUCGUAGUCUUAACCAUAAACUAUGCCAACUAGGGACCAUUGAGUGUCAAUUUACGACCUCAUUGGCACCUUGUGAGAAAUCAAAGUUUUUGGGUUCCGGGGGGAGUAUGGUCGCAAGGCUGAAACUUAAAGGAAUUGACGGAAGGGCACCACCAGGAGUGGAGCCUGCGGCUUAAUUUGACUCAACACGGGGAAACUUACCAGGUCCAGACAUAGUCAGGAUGGACAGAUUGAAAGCUCUUUCUUGAUUCUAUGGGUGGUGGUGCAUGGCCGUUCUUAGUUGGUGGAGUGAUUUGUCUGGUUAAUUCCGAUAACGAACGAGAC
This 707-nucleotide ribosomal RNA is filed under the name uncultured Cryptophyta. RNAcentral describes it as "SSU rRNA". It matches the Rfam family "Eukaryotic small subunit ribosomal RNA", at positions 623 to 1341 of the family's 1831-position model. Lineage: Eukaryota; Cryptophyceae. The record is from RNAcentral.